This 732-nucleotide ribosomal RNA is filed under the name uncultured Leptotrichia sp. RNAcentral's name for it is "bacterial SSU rRNA". It matches the Rfam family "Bacterial small subunit ribosomal RNA", at positions 28 to 776 of the family's 1533-position model. Lineage: Bacteria; Fusobacteriati; Fusobacteriota; Fusobacteriia; Fusobacteriales; Leptotrichiaceae. The record is from RNAcentral.
GAUGAACGCUGACAGAAUGCUUAACACAUGCAAGUCUUUGGCGAAGCUGUGCUUGCACAGCCUAGCCAAGGCGGACGGGUGAGUAACGCGUAAGGGACUUGCCCUGCAGUCAGGGAUAACAGACGGAAACGACUGAUAAAACCUGGUAAAGUCAGGCGGACUCAUGUCCAGCCUGAUGAAAAGGAAUGCUGCAGGAGAGCCUUGCGUCCUAUUAGCUUGUUGGUGGGGUAACGGCCCACCAAGGCGAUGAUAGGUAGCCGGCCUGAGAGGGUGGACGGCCACAAGGGGACUGAGAUACGGCCCUUACUCCUACGGGAGGCAGCAGUGGGGAAUAUUGGACAAUGGGGGCAACCCUGAUCCAGCAAUUCUGUGUGCACGAUGAAGGUCUUCGGAUUGUAAAGUGCUUUCAGCAGGGAAGAAAAAAAUGACGGUACCUGCAGAAGAAGCGACGGCUAAAUACGUGCCAGCAGCCGCGGUAAUACGUAUGUCGCGAGCGUUAUCCGGAAUUAUUGGGCAUAAAGGGCAUCUAGGCGGCCGGAUAAGUCUGGGGUGAAAACUUGCGGCUCAACCGCAAGCCUGCCCUGGAAACUAUGCGGCUAGAGUGCUGGAGAGGUGGACGGAACUGCACGAGUAGAGGUGAAAUUCGUAGAUAUGUGCAGGAAUGCCGAUUAUGAAGAUAGUUCACUGGACGGCAACUGACGCUGAAGUGCGAAAGCUAGGGGAGCAAACAGG